CGCACAGACUAACUGUACAGAAUUCGGCCACUUUGGUUCAAUUGAUCUAUUGUGUAUAUCUCAUGUGGUUUUCUUAAUGACGUUUCUCUCUUCUGCAAGUCUCAGAAUCAGGGGGAUUCUACUACUCUUGCUGCAUGCCGAAUUUUUAGUAAGAAAACGAACUGACUUUAAGUUGGUAAUGAUCACACAUAAUUAUUUUUUGGGGGGUAAAACACAUUGGUGAUGCCUAAUAUUACUUAUUUAAAAAAUCUAUAGCCUGAAAUACCUCUGGGCCUGCGUGUGUCUGUCCCAGCACCUCCAAGGGGAGGCAGACAACAGCAUUUCCUCUCAGAAAUGGGCUUGUUCCAAACGCACGUCCAGCUCGUUCACCUCCAUCGGGGGUGGCGGGGGCCAGAGUCUCCUCCGGUGUCCAGGCAUGGGGCUGUGUUUCCACAGGAACUCUAUUUUCCUCCUUCAAAUCUGAGGCACAUUAGGAUAUUUCUGCACUCGGAGGUGGAACCAGAAAGAGGAAGAAGUUGCAGCCAAGGGAGAUGCGUUCUGGAUGAGAGAACCAGAUCUUCUGGUCAGACCACCCUUCUGUGGACUCACAUGAACUUUGCCAGCUGCUCUAGCUGCUUUUGUCCAAAGGCCCAAGUAGCUGAUGGUGAAUCCAGAAAGGACCCAGAUCUAGAAUGUGCUCAUCAGUGAGGGCACAUCUGGCCACCUCCCGGCGUUCACAGAUGGCAGUCCCUGGAUGCCAUCACCCAGUUAU
This 751-nucleotide long non-coding RNA is filed under the name Mustela putorius furo (domestic ferret). RNAcentral describes it as "lncRNA (ENSMPUG00000029198.1)". The record is from RNAcentral. Lineage: Eukaryota; Metazoa; Chordata; Mammalia; Carnivora; Mustelidae.